GGUGUGUGUGUGCUGGAUGAUGGGUGUGUGUGUGCUGGAUGAUGGGUGUGUGAGUGCUGGAUGAUGGGUGUGUGAGUGAUGGAUGAUGGGUGUGUGUGUGCUGGAUGAUGGGUGUGUGUGUGCUGGAUGAUGGGUGUGUGAGUGAUGGAUGAUUUGUGUGUGUGUGCUGGAUGAUGGGUGUGUGAGUGAUGGAUGAUGUGUGUGUGUGUGCUGGAUGAUGUGUG
This is a non-coding RNA of Pelobates cultripes (western spadefoot toad), 224 nucleotides long. The record is from the annotation of a GenBank genome assembly. NCBI's taxonomy places the organism in Eukaryota, Metazoa, Chordata, Amphibia, Anura, Pelobatidae.